Molecule: ribosomal RNA, 451 nt
Filed under: uncultured bacterium
Lineage: Bacteria
Description: partial 16S ribosomal RNA
Rfam family: Bacterial small subunit ribosomal RNA
Source: RNAcentral
GAUGAACGCUGGCGGCAGGCCUAACACAUGCAAGUCGAACGGGUGUAGCAAUACAUCAGUGGCGCACGGGAGAGUAACGCGUGGGAACCUACCUUUUGGUUCGGAAUAACGUCGGGAAACUGACGCUAAUACCGGAUAAGCCCUACGGGGGAAAGAUUUAUCGCCGAAAGAUGGGCCCGCGUUAGAUUAGCUUGUUGGUGAGGUAACGGCUCACCAAGGCUACGAUCUAUAGCUGGUCUAAGAGGAUGAUCAGCCUCACUGGGACUGAGACACGGCCCAGACUCCUACGGGAGGCAGCAGUGGGGAAUAUUGGACAAUGGGGGCAACCCUGAUCCAGCCAUGCCGCGUGAAUGAUGAAGGCCUUCGGGUUGUAAAGUUCUUUUGGCGGGGACGAUGAUGACGGUACCCGCAGAAUAAGCUCCGGCUAACUUCGUGCCAGCAGCCGCCGCGG